Humulus lupulus (European hop) is the source of this 4757-nucleotide long non-coding RNA. RefSeq lists it as uncharacterized. The transcript has 16 exons. The record is from RefSeq and is a predicted model, not a curated record. NCBI's taxonomy places the organism in Eukaryota, Viridiplantae, Streptophyta, Magnoliopsida, Rosales, Cannabaceae.
UGGUGAUCGACGGCUAGAGAGAGAGAGAGGGUGUGUGAGAGCUAGAGAGAGAAGGAGAAGGAGAAAGGAAGAAGAAGAAGGAGGAGAAAAGAUGAGGGGUUCGAAUUCUAUAGGUGCCAAGGGAGAUCAACAUUGUGAGUUGAUUGCUAUCAAAUGAGGUAAGGGCAAGGGGAAAAUCUACCAACCAUGAGUACGGAGAGCGUGAAGCGACGCGUACAUGUCUGGUCUGCCUUGCUGCCACGACCAAGGGUAUUUUUGGGAGAUGGUUUGUUCUAAAUCUUAUUUUGUCGUGUAGUCAACUUUAAUCAUAUUUUGAGUUGUAAAUAUUUAUAAACAGUAUUUCGGGAUCCUGAAUGUUAAACGUUUUAUAAUUUUCAAUGAAUGACUACAUUUUCAAAUUAUGUGAUUUUAAUACAGUUUAGUUACACUUUUGACCUAAAUUCUUUAUUAGCAAGUUAAAUGCACAUUUUAAACUCACUUAGUAACGACUCUAAGGUAGUAGGGCGUUACAUGCCUCCUGCUUGUUUUACAUUGUCUAAAGAAGAGAAGCAAGCCAUAUGUAAAUCAUUGGCAGAGAUGAACGUGCCUGAUGGUUAUUCAUCGAAUGUUCGAAACUUGGUGUCUAUGCAAGAUUUGAAGUUAAUUGGAAUGAAAUCACAUGAUUGUCAUAUAUAAAUGCAACAAUUACUUGUAAUUGCCAUUUGGUCAGUUUUACCAAAAUGAGUUCGAGAUAGUGUGACAAGUGUGUGCAUGUUCUUUAAUCAACUAUCCAGAAAAGAAUUGGAAAUGAAGAAGUUGAGUGCAUUGCAUGAUGAAGUAGUUGAAACUUUAUGCAAGCUUAUAAAAUAUUUUCCACCAUCUUUUUUUAAAUCAUGAUACAUUUGAUGGUCCAUUUAGUAAGAGAAGCUAAGUUGUGUGGGCCAGUUUGGGCGAGAUGGAUGUAUCCAUUUGAAAGGAAUAGGAAUGUGUUGAAGGGAUAUGUACGCAAUCACCAUCGCCAUGAAGCUUGUAUGGUUGAGUGUUAUUUAGGAGAAGAAGCUGUGGAAUUUUAUUCAGAGUACAUGGUUGGAUUCGACACAAUCGGAAUUAUCAAACCACGAAAUAACUCAGAUGGAGUUGAUAGAGGAUUAUGAGGGAAAGGAAUAGUAGUGAUCAUAUCUCGUGUAGAAUUAGAUCAAGCUCAUUUAGUUGUGUUGGAAAACAAUCCUGAGGUUCAACCAUAUACAACGUAAGUUAUAAAUUUAAUAAACAUUAUGCUCAUUUUUAUGUAAAAUUGAAAUUUUAAUGUUGUACUUUGUAUUUGUAGUGAGCACAUAGAGUUAUUACAAUCAAUGAUUCCAAACAAGGUUAAAAAUAAAUAGAAAUGGAUCAUAGAUGAGGAUCAUAAAACAUUUAGUCGAUGGUUGAAAAAUAUUAUUCUAGCAAGGUUGGGAGAAGAAAACCAUGGAGUGUCAACAGAGUUAAAACGCAUAUCAUUUGAAGCAAGUGUUCAUGUAAUAAAGCACCAUGCUUACAUUUUUGGAGGAAAAAAAUUUCACACAAAGUCAAGAGAUGAUGCUCGAAUGGUUCAAAAUAGUGGAGUAAGUAUUGUUGCAGAAGCAAUGCAUUUCGCUAGUGCAAAAGACAAUAAUCCAGUAGUUGGUACUAUGACAUUUUAUGGGGUUGUUGAAGAAAUAUGAGAGCUUGAUUAUUCCUUAUUUCAAAUUCCCCUUCUCAAGUGUUCUUGGGUGGACAAAAAUGUUGGGGUUAGAAUUGAUGAACUUGGAUUCACUUUGGUUGAUUUAAGUAAGAAAGGUCACAAAAAUGAUCCUUUCAUCAUGGCUACCCAAGCAAAACAAGUGUUUUACAUAACUGAUCCUGUUGAUGAUAAAUGGUCAGUUGUUUUACGAACCCCGGAGAGGCAGUUUAUAGAAGAUGAAAAUGAUGAAGAAAAUGAUGAUUUGUUCCAUGAUAAUUUUAUUGUUGGACAACCAAUACAUGAUCAAGUUGAGCAAACCCAUUAUUUCAAUGAAGAUGAUGAUGAUGGGGAAUACAUUAGAAAUGAUAUUAGAGACAGAAUAUGGGUAGAUUGUGAAUCAACCAAGAAAAGAAAAAGGAAAAGAAAAUGUGUCCAAUGACAAAUUCUGAAGAGGAGAACACACCUAAUAGGCGAGGCCCAACAAAGAAGAACAAUAUAAAUAAUAAAAAAGCUAAGGGAAUAAGGAGAGUAUUACAUUUAAUGAUAAGGGUCAACCUAUAGGGAAAGCGUAUGGCGAGAUGCAAUCGUACCUUGGAGUUAAAACUAGGAGAAUAGUCUCUCUCAAUUAUAAGGAUUGGAGACAAGUCCCACAAGAAUUGAAGAAUAGAAUAUGGGAGGAUGUAUAUGGUGGCUUUAACAUUCCAGAAAAUUGGAAAAAGAAUUAAUUAAAUGUGCGGGAAGAAUGAUGAGAGAUUUUAAGAUCAACGCCACUAGUGACUACAUCUACCCUUUGGCAAAAGCGGGUUUGAUAGAUGAACUCCAAUUCCUUCCUAAGAAAUAUCCAGAACUUGACCUUGAAGAUUGGAGGACCUUUGUUAGCCACUGUUUAUCUCCUGAGUUUAUGGGGGAAGCACAACGUGAAAGAGCUCUCAAAUAUACUUCGAGGCAUCGUACAUCUCGUAGAGGGCUUGCCAAUGUUAGAGAGGACUUGAAAAAUGAACUAGGUGUGGAAGAUGUAGAACGGUACCAAGUUUGGAUAAGAGCACGAGAAAAGAAGAAGGUUCUUGUCUCAAAUUUGGACAAACAAAUUGAAGCAAGAAUUAAUGAGUUGGAAGAAAAAGUUAGUAGUGGAGAAAUCAUUGCAAAGGGUCGAAAUGACAUAUUAACACAAUCUUUAGGGACACAUGAGCACCCAGGUCGUGUUAGAGCACUUGGGUCAUUUGCGAAGAUUUCGUCCGUCUUUGGAAGAAAACAAAAAAAUAGCAAAAGAAAUGGUUGAUGUUGUUAGUAAGAAAGAUGCAGAAAUUGCGAGGCUCAAAGCAGAAAUUAAAGCUUUAGAGGAGGAAAGAGCUAAACAAGCAGAUGAGAUAGAGGAUAUGGAUGAACACGACAACGAUGACAAGCAGAAUGACAAAGAAUAUCACACACCGUACAUGCAGGAUGACGUGCCUCCACAAUUUACAACUAAUGUGUUACUUUGUUAAGAUAAUAUUCAUAAUGUGGUGGCAGAGGGUGUUAUCAAUGAUAGUGUGGGUCCACUAACUAUUCAUGGUGUUCAACUGAUAGACGAAUACGCGAGGGUGCGAGUCACCAAAAUGUUACAAGAGGAUGCUGAAAUCCCAUGUUUUGUUGGGGAGAUACGCUAUGUUCGGGAUACCUAUGACAUUUUCAUUCCUUGGCCAAAAGAUUUAAUUAUGACUAAUUAGGGUCCUCUAAAAAAGAGACCUCCUAUGUCAAAAAGCCCAUCCAAGGACAAGUCGAACCGUAAUUCUACCACUAGCCCACAUUUGUCAUCAGCUAGAUCCCAUGUCAAUCCAGAAAACACUCUAAUAGAAGGCCAACCAUUUUCCGAUCACAUCAUGAAUCGCAUCCAUGUUAACCUUCAGUUUAUGGUGAGAGAAUUUUGCAGAGUUAAAGGAUUAAACAAAGUAGUCUCAAUUCUAGUGGACCCAUCAUUCAUGAAUCGCGAGUUAAUAUUUAUAACUUCAGAGGAUGUGGAACAAGUUGCUACUUUACAUAUGAUUGGAGGCUCAGCAAUGAUAUUCGGACUAAGGUUUGGGUAGUCCUAUUUAUAGGGGAAACUCGGCCAAAAAUUUUCAAAAAUAUAUAGCACUUAAGAAAAUUUUGCAGAUGCAUUUGAGAGUCCCUAUUUCCAAAUCAACGUAUCUUUUACAAGUUUUUUGACACUGAGCAUCUUAGCAUUAAUAAUGCUAACGAUGUAGAACGAUCAACCAUUGACUUGGAAAAUUGGUUGAUGACCAUGAAUAGAGUUGGUCAACUAUACUUUAUACCUUGGAACAUACGGGAACAUUGGAUGUUGGUGAUUGCUAUGCCAAAAGGGAAAAUCGUGUUCUUGGAUACACUGAAAGCACACAAACGUCCUGAAGAAAUUGAUUCAAUGAUACAAGUGCAUAUUAUAAGGCUUCUUCCAAUGAAUUACUUGGCAAUCCUACAAAGAUAUUCAAUGUUGCAUGUCCAAAACAACCACAAAGUCAUGAAUGUGGUUUUUAUGUGUUGAAGUACAUUAGAGAUCUUGUACGGGCAUCAAAUACAAUAGAAACCUUAAAAGAAAAUUUGAUGGGAAGAAGCAAUAUUAUGAGAUUGCAGACCUCUUGCCAAUUUAAGACGAAUGGUUAGGUCGAUUGAUGACAUACAUUUAUUACUAACAAGUACGUCAUAUACAGAAUGGGCGACAUAUGUGUUACCGAUAAUCCAAAGUUACCGACCUCAUUGUAAUAAAUAUGGUUUCUCUUGCACACGAUGUGAUGUGGGGAAUUCCGACGUCUGAGUGUGUAUGGCAUGAGGGUUUUCUAUGAAUGAAUAAAUGAUCAACAUAAGCGCCGAGUUUUAAAGAACUAUGUUAUGGACAUUAUUUUUAAAUUUACCAGUGGGACUCAAACUUUUUAUUUUCUUUAAACAUUGCAUAUGAACACUUUAUUUUUAGUUUAAAUUAUUAGGCCCAAACUUGCAUGUUUUAUCAAGCGUCGCUGAAUUUAUCUUUUUAAGUAGUAUUUUUUUAAUUAUUUAUAAGAUGAGAGACGUUUUUACAAAGUAAUAAAAUAGGGCGCUUUACACCGAA